Molecule: long non-coding RNA, 1001 nt
Filed under: Salvator merianae (Argentine black and white tegu)
Lineage: Eukaryota; Metazoa; Chordata; Lepidosauria; Squamata; Teiidae
Description: lncRNA (ENSSMRG00000013081.1)
Source: RNAcentral
GGCGGGGAGUCAAGUCCCCAGCUAUGUUAGCGCAGCAAUCCAGCGAUCCUCAGCACUCACUACCGCUGCUGAGGUUCCCAAGAGUUACCAUCCUAGAGAGUUCGUGGGCUUGCCUGNUGAUCAAGCUGAUUUGCAGACCAAGAACUACCCUCGCCCUUUCCGGCCUGCAGAGACACAGACUCAUGAGGCCCCAGGGAAACCAACUUUCUCCACACCUCAUCCGUCACCCCAGAUGUUUCCCACCUUUGCGGAGUCCUGGUCACCAGCCAUGUUUAAAACUCCCAGGAGGGAUCUNAAAGACAAGGGAGUCCAGAAAUUCUCGGACCUUCCUGAAGACUUCACCUUAUGGAAGGUAACCUUUCAGAGAGCUAUUAGAGACUUGAAGCUGCAAGCAGAUGAGGAGCUCACCUUACUCAUGGCAUGGUUGGGCCCUAACUCAUCCCUUCAGGUCCAGAGAGUUUACGCUGCCUAUGUGUCAGACCCUGUUAAGGCAUUACAGACAGCGUGGAACAGAUUAGACGAGAGAUAUGGUGCGUCUACAGAAAUAGAGGCAUCUUUACUGAAUCGGCUUUACAAGUUCCCUAUCCUCAAGUCAAAGGACUUCCGUCAGUUAUGGGACUUGAGUGAUCUUCUAGUUGAACUUGAGUCUGCAAAAUGCAACCCAGAGCUACCUGGUCUAGCCUGCCUAGAUCAGUAUAUUACACAGAGACAGGUGCUCCAAAAGCUACUCUUCCAGCUCCAGGAGAUUUGGGGAAGAGAGGUGUUUGCUUAUAAGGAGCUCCACAUGCAACGUUACCCACCUUUCAGUUACAUUGUGACCUUCAUAGCAAGAGUUGCAAAGGAAAGGAACGAUCCACAGACUGGGUUUCCAACCCUUUACCAGAGUGUGUGUCCAGAGAAGACCAUACAGGAGGGUAAAAAACCUCUCAAAGAGAUGCAAAGGGCUACAGUGGUAGUUAAAUCUACUGAGAUCACUCAGCCUAAGUUGGACAAGAAUCAAG